UUACCGAAGCGGCUCAAGCACCCGUUAUAACAACUGCUUUGAAACUGUGCGCUACACGUAACACUACUUGAAGCACAAGCACGGAACAAACCCCGCGAACGAAAACAGCUUUAUGCGAUGUCGGGCGAGAGGCGUCUCGCCGAACGCGCUGUUUGCCCUAGCGGGCGCGCAGCGGCUCGAAUCAAAGCGUACCCACUUUUCAACCCCACUAAACUCUGAAUCUGAACUAAAAAGGCGGCCUGCCCUACKCAAGANNNNNNCUCCCUCAACCUUUAACCUUGUAAAACUUUCAGCGACGGAUGUCUUGGCUCCCACAACGAUGAAGAACGCAGCGAAAUGCGAUACGUCUUGCGACUUGCAGAAUCCAGUGAAUCAUCAAAACUUUGAACGCAUCUUGCGCUUCCGGGAUAUGCCUGGGAGCAUGCUUGUCGGAGUGUCUGUUGACACCACUCGCCCGUCCCCCCCGCCUGUCAAAGGGAGGGGGUGCCGCGGCGGACUGUGCGUGUUCCGGAGCGCCUCGCGCUCCGCGUGCACCCAAGCUCGUGAACGAAAUGAUACCUCUUUUCAGCUGUCGCUGCACGGAGUUGUUGACGGCGCUCGCCCGAAAUCAAGUACGGCGCGCGAACAAACGACUCACCCAAACGUUGCGGUGAACAAACGGCUUUGGAGGGGCACACCAUCUCUACCGACUGGCCCCCUGGUGUCGCGAGCCUCGUGCCCGCGCCCUCUGGCGCGCCCUACUUUUGUUCG
RNAcentral lists this ribosomal RNA (750 nucleotides) under Halosiphon tomentosus. The stretch from base 285 to 439 matches the Rfam family "5.8S ribosomal RNA". The record is from RNAcentral. Lineage: Eukaryota; Phaeophyceae; Laminariales; Halosiphonaceae.